This is a long non-coding RNA of Capsicum annuum, 1785 nucleotides long. RefSeq lists it as uncharacterized. The transcript has 2 exons. The record is from RefSeq and is a predicted model, not a curated record. Lineage: Eukaryota; Viridiplantae; Streptophyta; Magnoliopsida; Solanales; Solanaceae.
GCGAAUUAGGGCAGAGGACUAGGGCCAGUUUGGGUCGCUAGUGUAGGGAAUUACUUGGUGGGGGUUUUAUUCCUGUUAUGAUUUCGUGUUCCGUGUUCCAUGUUUUAUUACGAAUCUGUGUGUUUUCAUCUGCUUUAUAUUACUCAUGGGUGCCGUAUUUAUGUUAUGUAAUCUGCUUCUGUGCUUUACUAUGUGUUUGUGUGGUAUCUCGUGCCUUGAGUCGGGGGUCUAUCGGAAACAGCCUUUCUACUUCUUUAGAGAUAGAGGUAUGGACUGCGUACAUCUUACCCCCCCAGACCCCACUAGGUGGGAAUACACUGGGUUUGUUGUUGUUGUUGUUGUUGUAGUAAGGAACGUACUCUAACAAAUACAAAGAAUUUUUCAAAACUAUUCAAUAUCCAUCAUGGCUUGUCCCAUUUCUCCGAAUUUUCUUCCAUCCUAGUAUUAUUUGUGAUGUGAUUGCAUACCUCCUCUGUGAAAAUCUGUUGAAGCAUCUACGCAUUCCAUCUUCAUUGUAAAAAUAAUUGGCUCACAUCCUCUAUUUAAUAAUUAUACAUUGUUAAAAGAAAUAUAAUAGUGUAAUGCACCCAGUUGUGUCCAAUUGCCUAAUCAAAUACUAGAAUUAUCUAUUUUAGGCUCCCACUAAAUUUUUGAUCAAUUUAUCUCUAGCUUCAACCAUAUGCUUUUAGAUUUGGGACUCUCUCUCCAUUCAAACAUUUGAGUUUUAAAACUCUCAUUCUCCUCUCCACUCUCAAGAGAAAGAAGUAAGGGUUUCUCCCAAGGCUCAUACUUCCAAGAUUAGAUUUAAGCUGUUUCGAAUCCUUGUUCAUUAAAAAGGUAUGUGGGACUAUCCUAAUUCUCACGAGCAUAAGUUUCAUGUUUUCUACAAGAUUUAAAGUAUAUAUGUAUGUACGUAUUAUGGGUUUUGAGAUUUGUUUGGAGAGCAUGCACUAUGAACCCCAUUUUAUGAUGAAAUCUUGUAAUUACUAGGGGUCUCUAUAAAACUUGAGUUAUAAUCAUGUGAAAAUGAGUAUCGAGUUUUGAAAAGUAAUUUAUGAGCAUGAUUUAUGAAAUUUCCUCUCUCAUUUUCCUUAACACAUUAUGGGGUGUUCAAAUGCAACAUUAAACGCUUGAAUGCAAAUGCUUUACUAUUAUUUAUGGAUUUACAUUAUUUUAUGAUCCAAUAAGAGGGUGUUUUCUUGUUUGAUUUAUAUAAAUGCUCAUUGUGUUAAAUGGUUGAUGAUGAAUUGCAUGUGAUUGAUAGAAAAUAUGAUCACCUUAUGAUUUGAAUCUUGAAGGGAGGGUGUUUGGCGUAAGUUUUUAUAUGCUUUUGAAAUAAGAACUCUCAUGUUUUAUGUCAAUUUUUUUGGGUGGUGUAAUACCCCGUACUUUUUCUAGCUUGAAAAGUUUCUCAAGAGUGUUAGAAACUUUCUUUGAAAGAUGAAUCCACUUUUUUACACGUGGUAUUUUCAAGAUUUUUACUUUUUAUCAUGUGGGGAAUCAAAUAAGCUUUCCAUUGAUACCAAAUUCACCCAAAUUCGACACCCGGGUGAAGAGUUGAGCCUUUUUAGUGAGACAGUGUAUCACCUGAGCCUUCAGCGCUUCACGGAGAUAGCUCAAAUGGCAAUGGUCAAUUUCCAGUGUUGCUCUACGAUAGUGGCGCGUCGCGCUAAACUUUUAGGUCACAGACAAGGUGGCAACGCGAUAGCUCCGUGUCACGCCAUCGUGCAAUUUUCCAUUUGUCACUUUCCAGUGACUUGGCGCGAUAGUGACACGUUGUGCCAA